This 334-nucleotide ribosomal RNA is filed under the name uncultured eukaryote. RNAcentral's name for it is "partial 18S ribosomal RNA". It matches the Rfam family "Eukaryotic small subunit ribosomal RNA", at positions 1470 to 1796 of the family's 1831-position model. The record is from RNAcentral.
CCCUUAGAUGUUCUGGGCUGCACGCGCGCUACACUGACUGGCUCAGCGUGUGCCUACCCUACGCCGGCAGGCGCGGGUAACCCGUUGAACCCCAUUCGUGAUGGGGAUCGGGGAUUGCAAUUAUUCCCCAUGAACGAGGAAUUCCCAGUAAGUGCGGGUCAUAAGCUUGCGUUGAUUAAGUCCCUGCCCUUUGUACACACCGCCCGUCGCUACUACCGAUUGGAUGGUUUAGUGAGGCCCUCGGAUCGGCCCCGCCGGGGUCGGCCCACGGCCCUGGCGGAGCGCUGAGAAGACGGUCGAACUUGACUAUCUAGAGGAAGUAAAAGUCGUAACA